This 293-nucleotide long non-coding RNA is filed under the name Mytilus galloprovincialis (Mediterranean mussel). The record is from RNAcentral. Lineage: Eukaryota; Metazoa; Mollusca; Bivalvia; Mytilida; Mytilidae.
UGUCUGUCUGUAUCACAGUAAUGCCAAGCUGACAGAACUAAAACAAAUUAUAAAAAUGAUUAACUACAAAUGACAAUGAUACUACAUCUACUCUAUAAAAGAUUCUUCUCCUUAGUUCAUAAAAAUAAUAGCCAUGUGAAGUUUGUCUACUGUAAGCCGGAAAAUUUUCAUGAGGAUUUUCUUUCCUUAAUUUUCAAUUAAGCAAAAAUCAGACAAAACAAUUCCUGACAUAGAAAUGAUCAAAAAUAUUUAAGGUUAACAAAUGAAUGAAAAGUGCUAUAACUAGAAAAAAA